GUGCACCGCACAAAAUCUGACACAGGGAAAGAUAGCAGAAAAUGAAAGAAAAGUCUUUGUGUUGUGUUCAUACGCUGCUUCACUAGAUUGACCUCUCUCUCUCUUUUGUUUGGUACUUCUUCUUUCUAGGUUAGCGCACCUUUCUUGUCUCCAUAGUAGGGGUUGACACUAAGAAUUGAUAUCCCUUGUUUCCCUGCUCAUCAUUUUGAUUCAGGAGGUAGAAUGUGUAUCAGCCAUUAAUGGCACUUUUUUCAUCUCCUUCCAUCGACAGUGUACAACCCUUCCUUGAUUCUGAGGGACCCAGCUGCCAUGCUGUGAGGAAGCUCAGGCUAUCUUUCUGGAGAGAGAGGCAUCCUGAAGAAGCUAUGGAGGGAGACAGAAGGAGGGCACAGAAGAAACACAGGUCGCCCACAGAAUCAAGUUCAGUCCUCAUUCAUUGUUUUAAGCCAUUAAGUUUUGGGUGGAGAUUUGUUACACAGCUAUUGAUAACUGAAACACUCAGAUAGUUUGUGUUCUUCA
This is a long non-coding RNA of Felis catus (domestic cat), 519 nucleotides long. RefSeq lists it as uncharacterized. The transcript has 2 exons. Lineage: Eukaryota; Metazoa; Chordata; Mammalia; Carnivora; Felidae. The record is from RefSeq and is a predicted model, not a curated record.